This 475-nucleotide ribosomal RNA is filed under the name uncultured bacterium. RNAcentral describes it as "bacterial SSU rRNA". It matches the Rfam family "Bacterial small subunit ribosomal RNA", at positions 28 to 507 of the family's 1533-position model. The record is from RNAcentral.
GACGAACGCUGGCGGCGUGCCUAACACAUGCAAGUCGAGCGGGUUGAAGCGAGGGGUAACUCGAGUUUCUACCUAGCGGCGGACGGGUGAGUAACGCGUGGGCAACCUGCCUCAAGGACUGGGAUAACAGCUCGAAAGGGCUGCUAAUACCGGAUAAGCCUAUGGGCCUCGCAUGGGGCCAUGAGCAAAGGGGAAACCCGCCUUGAGAUGGGCCCGCGUCCCAUCAGCUAGUUGGUGAGGUGAAGGCUCACCAAGGCGACGACGGGUAGCCGGCCUGAGAGGGUGACCGGCCACACUGGGACUGAGACACGGCCCAGACUCCUACGGGGGGCAGCAGUGGGGAAUCUUGCACAAUGGGCGAAAGCCUGAUGCAGCGACGCCGCGUGAGCGAAGAAGGCCUUCGGGUUGUAAAGCUCUGUCUGGAGGGACGAAGGAAGUGACGGUACCUCCGGAGGAAGCCACGGCUAACUACGUG